AGGACGAACGCUGGCGGCGUGCCUAAUACAUGCAAGUCGAACGGUCUUUCUAUGGAAGCUUGCUCCACUGAGAAGAUAGUGGCGAACGGGUGAGUAACACGUGGGUAACCUGCCCAUAAGAGGGGGGAGUAACAUCCGGAAACGGGUGCUAAUACCGCAUAGUUUUCUUGAUCGCAUGAUUGAGAAAGGAAAGACGGCCUUUGUGCUGUCGCUUAUGGAUGGACCCGCGGCGUAUUAGUUAGUUGGUGAGGUAACGGCUCACCAAGACGAUGAUACGUAGCCGACCUGAGAGGGUGAUCGGCCACAUUGGGACUGAGACACGGCCCAAACUCCUACGGGAGGCAGCAGUAGGGAAUCUUCCGCAAUGGACGAAAGUCUGACGGAGCAACGCCGCGUGAGUGAAAGAAGGUUUUCGGAUCGUAAAACUCUGUUGUCAGAGAAGAACAAGUUGGAGAGUAACUGCUCCAGCCUUGACGGUAUCUGACCAGAAAGCCACGGCUAACUACGUGCCAGCCGCCGC
RNAcentral lists this ribosomal RNA (520 nucleotides) under uncultured bacterium. Its description in RNAcentral is "bacterial SSU rRNA". It matches the Rfam family "Bacterial small subunit ribosomal RNA", at positions 26 to 518 of the family's 1533-position model. The record is from RNAcentral.